This 373-nucleotide ribosomal RNA is filed under the name uncultured soil bacterium. Its description in RNAcentral is "bacterial SSU rRNA". It matches the Rfam family "Bacterial small subunit ribosomal RNA", at positions 26 to 399 of the family's 1533-position model. The record is from RNAcentral.
AGAUUGAACGCUGGCGGCAUGCUUUACACAUGCAAGUCGAACGGUAACGCGGGGGCAACCCUGGCGACGAGUGGCGAACGGGUGAGUAAUACAUCGGAACAUGUCCUGGAGUGGGGGAUAGCUCGGCGAAAGCCGGAUUAAUACCGCAUACGCUCUGAGGAGGAAAGCGGGGGACUCGUAAGGGCCUCGCGCUGCGGGAGUGGCCGAUGUCGGAUUAGCUAGUGGUGAGGUAAAGGCUCACCAAGGCGACGAUCCGUAGCUGGUCUGAGAGGAUGAUCAGCCACACUGGGACUGAGACACGGCCCAGACUCCGUACGGGAGCAGCGAGGUCGGGAUUUGGACAGUGGGGGCAACCUGAUCCAGCCAGUCGCCG